CACGGCCCAGACUCCUACGGGAGGCAGCAGUGGGGAAUAUUGCACAAUGGGCGGAAGCCUGAUGCAGCGACGCCGCGUGAGGGAUGACGGCCUUCGGGUUGUAAACCUCUUUCAGCAGGGAAGAAGCGCAAGUGACGGUACCUGCAGAAGAAGCACCGGCUAACUACGUGCCAGCAGCCGCGGUAAUACGUAGGGUGCGAGCGUUGUCCGGAAUUAUUGGGCGUAAAGAGCUCGUAGGCGGCUUGUCGCGUCGGAUGUGAAAGCCCGGGGCUUAACUCCGGGUCUGCAUUCGAUACGGGCAGGCUAGAGUGUGGUAGGGGAGAUCGGAAUUCCUGGUGUAGCGGUGAAAUGCGCAGAUAUCAGGAGGAACACCGGUGGCGAAGGCGGAUCUCUGGGCCAUUACUGACGCUGAGGAGCGAAAGCGUGGGGAGCGAACAGGAUUAGAUACCCUGGUAGUCCACGCCGUAAACGUUGGGAACUAGGUGUUGGCGACAUUCCACGUCGUCGGUGCCGCAGCUAACGCAUUAAGUUCCCCGCCUGGGGAGUACGGCCGCAAGGCUAAAACUCAAAGGAAUUGACGGGGGCCCGCACAA
This 593-nucleotide ribosomal RNA is filed under the name bacterium 1d110309. RNAcentral describes it as "bacterial SSU rRNA". It matches the Rfam family "Bacterial small subunit ribosomal RNA", at positions 325 to 928 of the family's 1533-position model. The record is from RNAcentral. RNAcentral also lists the same sequence under 1 other name.